AGGCAGAGAUAAGAGAGAAAUUACAGAAAAAGGAACGUGUUUGAGAGCUGAAUGCAUGAUGCAAGAAACAAGAAAGAGGUUAGACUGAUGAUGAAAGUAAAUGACGGGAGUUUGAGGCUAUCAUUGCAAGAAUGAUGGCUCAAGGCGGUGUGUAAUGCCAAGGCAAUGGCAUCAUCUGUUGACCUGUUAGAGCAAUAUGCAAACUGAAAAGGGUCCAUGGAGGCAGGGAGAGUGGAGCAUAUAUGUGUUCUGACUAUCCGCUCAAAGCACUUCAUGAUGAUGGAGGUGAUGAUAAAUGGCUCAACGUGUUUCUCUGGAGAGCUUCUCGCACACUCAUCAGGAGGGAGAUGAUCUGGAGCCUGUUACGCAGGAGAAGAUCAAUGGGCUUCAGCAGCACAAGUGAUUCUCCCAUGGCUCGCCGGCUGCUUAAACUGCCUGUGUUUCCACAAAGCUGUCAAAUUGAGCCCAUGGUCUCAUUGUUCAGAGCUGACGGCAAUUGAAUCCACCCAUCAAUGGUCCAGCUGAUCCAAUCUUUGAUAUAUGGAGAGAUGAAUUGCAAUGGUCCUUAUAGCUAAUAGAGUCACCAUAAACAUUAAUAUAUAGAGACUUUUUUAUAGCCUUUAAUAUGGUAUAGUUGAUGCAGAGAGUGGCCGUGGACAUGGAUUUUAAUCAGUAUCAAGAUUAUAGAUUAAAAUGUACACAUAUCAAAUCAAAUCACAUUUAUUGUCACACAGCCAUAUACACAAGUGCAAUGGUGUGUGAAAUUCAGUCGUGACAGUGAUGAGACAUAUACCAAUUUACAAUAACAUCAAAUUAACACAACACAAUUUAAAGUCUAAUAUACACAUAAUUACACACAACAAUAUACAAAUAAUAACAUACACUGUACAGUAUACAAUAUGCACAAUAUAGAUAAACAUUAUUCAAUAAAAAAAAAAAGUAUAUAUAGUAGUAUAUAUAGAAUGUACAGUUGGCUGUAUUGUACUGUAUUGACAUUCAGGCUGUCGGUUGAUAGUAACUUGUUAAGAGAGAAUAUAUAUAAUAAUAAUAUAAUUUAUGACAGUCCGGUGUGAGAUAUAAGAGUGAGAGUAAUAAAGUGCAGUGCUGAUGUAUUUUGAUCAUAGGAGAUCAAGAGUUCAAAAGUCUGAUUGCUUGGGGGAAGAAGCUGUCAUGGAGUCGGCUGGUGCGGGUCCUGAUGCUGCGAUAUCGCCUGCCUGAUGGUGGCAGUGAGAACAGCCCAUGGCUCGGGUGGCUAGAGUCUCUGAUGAUCCUCUUGAGGUCUUAUUAAGGCAAGAAACAUACUUUACGCAAGUACGCAGAUGCGAACACCUGGCCAACACGUGGCCCAUUUGAACAUGCUUAUCGUGUGCUCUUGCAUUACUGUGGCGGGAACAAACCUCAGUACUCUAGGAGGCGAUAGACUUACCUUCAAAAGUCUGUGCCAUUAAAGUUGAUGUGUUAUUAUUCAGGUAAGUUGCUUUAAAUAUAUUGACUUUAAUUUAUUUGCUCAGCAAUAUUCUCUUCAAACUGUUGCUCCACCAUGACAGUAGUUAGCUUGAAAGAAAAAACACAGCAGAAGCAGACAAUUCACACUAACAUCUGCUA
Long non-coding RNA from Myxocyprinus asiaticus (Chinese sucker), 1605 nucleotides. RefSeq lists it as uncharacterized. NCBI's taxonomy places the organism in Eukaryota, Metazoa, Chordata, Actinopteri, Cypriniformes, Catostomidae. The record is from RefSeq and is a predicted model, not a curated record. The transcript is spliced from 3 exons.